AUCGCUUCUCGGCCUUUUGGCUAAGAUCAAGUGUAGAACUUCAGGGAAAUCAUAACCUCAGGUCAUCAGAUAGUUAAGUUCUGUGACAUAACAAUUAGCCUUAUCAUUAUUAGUAAUAAAAAUUCUGAGAUUUAAUUUGCCCUUACUUUAUGCACUCAUUGCCUACU
Molecule: small nuclear RNA, 167 nt
Filed under: Suricata suricatta (meerkat)
Lineage: Eukaryota; Metazoa; Chordata; Mammalia; Carnivora; Herpestidae
Description: U2 spliceosomal RNA (ENSSSUG00005010234.1)
Rfam family: U2 spliceosomal RNA
About the family: U2 is a small nuclear RNA (snRNA) component of the spliceosome (involved in pre-mRNA splicing). Complementary binding between U2 snRNA (in an area lying towards the 5' end but 3' to hairpin I) and the branchpoint sequence (BPS) of the intron results the bulging out of an unpaired adenosine, on the BPS, which initiates a nucleophilic attack at the intronic 5' splice site, thus starting the first of two transesterification reactions that mediate splicing.
Source: Rfam by way of RNAcentral